This 844-nucleotide long non-coding RNA is filed under the name Ananas comosus (pineapple). RNAcentral's name for it is "long non-coding RNA (ACOM_LNC030066)". Lineage: Eukaryota; Viridiplantae; Streptophyta; Magnoliopsida; Poales; Bromeliaceae. The record is from RNAcentral.
CAAUUUUGUGCAAUAAAGAUUUCAAUUUAAGUCUUAGUUCCAUGUCUCUUUGGAGCUAACAUUUUAAUAAUGAUGGGUUAUUCAGCCGCGCUUUAUGUAUGUAAAAAUAUUUUUUUGAAUAAAACUAUUUAUAAAUAUACAGAUAAAUUUAUUAUUGAAUCAUCUAAUUUCAACUUAGCCCAGCAUAAACAAAUAAAAUUUUCGACUAAUUCACGUAUGGAACUCUUAAAUAAACAUUUCUUUUAAAAAAAAACUUAGUUGCAUAAAACACUUAAAUGUUUCAUUCAGUCGUAAAUCAAAUUUAUGAUCUUGGCUAAGCAAAGAAGAUUCAUCAGCAAAUGGUGAGCUCAAUAUCUCGAAAACAAUUUCACCUCAAACUGAACCAAAGUCGUCUUCUGCGGAAAGAUCCAAGAUGCAGCCUCUGCAAAGUACGUGCUGAUAAAAAUGACACACCGAUCAUACUUAAGAGCUCAACCACAUUGCUCACAACUUCGAUCUGACCCAACCCGCCCGAACGUAUGUUAAGUUUAUUGCUAGAUCUCUUGUCAUGAGCUCAACCACAUUGCUCACGACUUCAAUCUGACCCAACCCGCCCGAACGUAUGUUAAGUUUAUUGCUGGAUCUCUUGUCAUUAUGUCUACUGUAGAUCGCAACUCCAUUCAACUGAUUGCACUCACCUGAUUCAACUUAUUAGUCUUCUGGACCUAUUAUUACGGGACAGAAAUUAAACCUAUUUUGGUCAAUAAUAAAUAGCCAACAAAAAACAAUUAUAUACUCUUACUGAACUCGAUUUACAGCGAAAUUAUGCUUACGCCAAUCCAAACACCCACAAAUACUAAAUAAA